UCCUACGGGAGGCAGCAGUAGGGAAUCUUCCGCAAUGGGCGAAAGCCUGACGGAGCAACGCCGCGUGAGUGAUGAAGGUCUUCGGAUCGUAAAACUCUGUUAUUAGGGAAGAACAAAUGCGUAAGUAACUGUGCGCGUCUUGACGGUACCUAAUCAGAAAGCCACGGCUAACUACGUGCCAGCAGCCGCGGUAAUACGUAGGUGGCAAGCGUUAUCCGGAAUUAUUGGGCGUAAAGCGCGCGUAGGCGGUUUCUUAAGUCUGAUGUGAAAGCCCACGGCUCAACCGUGGAGGGCCAUUGGAAACUGAAAAACUUGAGUGCAGAAGAGGAAAGUGGAAUUCCAUGUGUAGCGGUGAAAUGCGCAGAGAUAUGGAGGAACACCAGUGGCGAAGGCGACUUUCUGGUCUGUAACUGACGCUGAUGUGCGAAAGCGUGGGGAUCAAACAGGAUUAGAUACCCUGGUAGUCCACGCCGUAAACGAUGAGUGCUAAGUGUUAGGGGGUUUCCGCCCCUUAGUGCUGCAGCUAACGCAUUAAGCACUCCGCCUGGGGAGUACGGCCGCAAGGCUUAAACUCAAAGGAAUUGACGGGGACCCGCACAAGCGGUGGAGCAUGUGGUUUAAUUCGAAGCAACGCGAAGAACCUUACCAAAUCUUGACAUCCUUUGACCGCUCUAGAGAUAGAGUCUUCCCCUUCGGGGGACAAAGUGACAGGUGGUGCAUGGUUGUCGUCAGCUCGUGUCGUGAGAUGUUGGGUUAAGUCCCGCAACGAGCGCAACCCUUAAGCUUAGUUGCCAUCAUUCAGUUGGGCACUCUAAGUUGACUGCCGGUGACAAACCGGAGGAAGGUGGGGAUGACGUCAAAUCAUCAUGCCCCUUAUGAUUUGGGCUACACACGUGCUACAAUGGACAAUACAAAGGGCAGCGAAACCGCGAGGUCAAGCAAAUCCCAUAAAGUUGUUCUCAGUUCGGAUUGUAGUCUGCAACUCGACUACAUGAAGCUGGAAUCGCUAGUAAUCGUAGAUCAGCAUGCUACG
This 1033-nucleotide ribosomal RNA is filed under the name uncultured Staphylococcus sp. Its description in RNAcentral is "bacterial SSU rRNA". It matches the Rfam family "Bacterial small subunit ribosomal RNA", at positions 337 to 1361 of the family's 1533-position model. The record is from RNAcentral. Lineage: Bacteria; Bacillati; Bacillota; Bacilli; Caryophanales; Staphylococcaceae.